Molecule: unclassified non-coding RNA, 212 nt
Filed under: Hevea brasiliensis (rubber tree)
Lineage: Eukaryota; Viridiplantae; Streptophyta; Magnoliopsida; Malpighiales; Euphorbiaceae
Source: RNAcentral
UCCUGCUGCUUAUGUCACUGUCAAGGCUGGAAUAGCUCUCGGAGAAUUGGAAUCACUGGGGGAUCUUUACGACUUCAACUCCAUUGCCACUUUAUUUCUCAUUGGGGUUGUCUCUAUCUACAUUGAUGAGCAAGAGUAAAUCAUAGCUUUAUACUUGAAGAACUUGCUGCUUGUACAUGGGCCUUCUUUAUCCUGGCAGCUGUCUAGGUGCC